Molecule: ribosomal RNA, 492 nt
Filed under: uncultured bacterium
Lineage: Bacteria
Description: partial 16S ribosomal RNA
Rfam family: Bacterial small subunit ribosomal RNA
Source: RNAcentral
AGUGAACGCUGGCGGUAGGCCUAACACAUGCAAGUCGAACGGCAGCACAGUAAGAGCUUGCUCUUACGGGUGGCGAGUGGCGGACGGGUGAGGAAUACAUCGGAAUCUACUUUUUCGUGGGGGAUAACGUAGGGAAACUUACGCUAAUACCGCAUACGACCUACGGGUGAAAGCAGGGGAUCUUCUGACCUUGCGCGAUUGAAUGAGCCGAUGUCGGAUUAGCUAGUUGGCGGGGUAAAGGCCCACCAAGGCGACGAUCCGUAGCUGGUCUGAGAGGAUGAGCAGCCACACGGGAACUGAGACACGGUCCAGACUCCUACGGGAGGCAGCAGUGGGGAAUAUUGGACAAUGGGCGCAAGCCUGAUCCAGCCAUACCGCGUGGGUGAAGAAGGCCUUCGGGUUGUAAAGCCCUUUUGUUGGGAAAGAAAAGCAGCAGGUUAAUACCCCGCUGUUCUGACGGUACCCAAAGAAUAAGCACCGGCUAACUUCGUG